AGAGUUUGAUCCUGGCUCAGGAUGAACGCUAGCGGCAGGCUUAAUACAUGCAAGUCGAGGGGCAGCACAGGUAGCAAUACUGGGUGGCGACCGGCAAACGGGUGCGGAACACGUACGCAACCUUCCUUUAAGCGGGGGAUAGCCCAGGGAAACUUGGAUUAAUACCCCAUAGAACGUUAGGGUGGCAUCACCUAGACGUU
This 200-nucleotide ribosomal RNA is filed under the name uncultured bacterium. RNAcentral's name for it is "partial 16S ribosomal RNA". It matches the Rfam family "Bacterial small subunit ribosomal RNA", at positions 8 to 202 of the family's 1533-position model. The record is from RNAcentral.